AUAACGGUCCUAAGGUAGCGAAAUUCCUUGUCAGGUAAGUUCUGACCCGCACGAAAGGCGUAACGAUUUGGGCGCUGUCUCAGCUGUAGACUCGGUGAAGUCUUAGUACCUGUGAAGAUGCAGGUUACCCGCGACUAGACGGAAAGACCCCAUGGAGCUUCACUGCAGGUUGAUAUUGGGAUUUGAUGCAGCAUGUACAGGAUAGGUAGGAGGCAAAGAGAUGGAUACGCCAGUAUUCAAGGAGCCGCUGUUGGGAUACUACCCCUGUUGUAUUGGAUUUCUAACCGGACGACGUAGAGCCGUUGACGGGACAGUGUCAGUCGGGCAGUUUGACUGGGGCGGUCGCCUCCCAAAGAGUAACGGAGGCGCCCAAAGAUACCCUCAGCUUGGAUGGAAACCAAGCGCAGAGUGCAAAGGCAAAAGGGUGUUUGACUGCGAGACCCACAAGUCGAGCAGGGACGAAAGUCGGGCUUAGUGAUCCGGCGGUGCUGAAUGGAAAGGCCGUCGCUCAACGGAUAAAAGCUACCCUGGGGAUAACAGGCUGAUCUCCCCCAAGAGUCCACAUCGACGGGGAGGUUUGGCACCUCGAUGUCGGCUCAUCGCAUCCUGGGGCUGUAUUCGGUCCCAAGGGUUUGGCUGUUCGCCAAUUAAAGCGGUACGCGAGCUGGGUUCAGAACGUCGUGAGACAGUUCGGUCCCUAUCUGUCGUGGGCGCAGGAAAUUUGAGAAGAGCUGUCCUCAGUACGAGAGGACCGGGAUGGACGCAUCAAUGGUGGACCAGUUGUCACGCCAGUGGCAUAGCUGGGUAGCUAAAUGCGGAAGGGAUAAACGCUGAAGGCAUCUAAGUGUGAAACCCACUUCAAGAUGAGAUUUCCCAUUGCGCAAGCAAGUAAGACCCCUUAAAGACGAUAAGGUAGAUAGGUCAGGAGUGUAAGCAUGGUGACAUGUUAAGCGGACUGAUACUAAUAGGUCGAGGGCUUGACCGA
RNAcentral lists this ribosomal RNA (985 nucleotides) under human gut metagenome. RNAcentral describes it as "bacterial LSU rRNA". It matches the Rfam family "Bacterial large subunit ribosomal RNA", at positions 1942 to 2925 of the family's 2925-position model. The record is from RNAcentral.